UCUAGGAAAAAUAUAUUGAUCUCUAAAUAUCAAAAUUCAUGCUUUAUUCAAAAACAUAUCCAAGUUGGAAUGAUGGAACUUUAGAAAUUAUUACUCCAAGUCAACAUGCAACCAGUGGAGCUCAACUAAGAAAGUAGAUUUUCCAGCCAUUUCUGCAAAUUAUUAUAAAGUUUGCAGAAACCAAGAAACAAUCUUUUUCUAUGGAUCAGCUUAAAAAAUCUGCAUCUUUCCCUUCCAUCAACAUGGAUAUAAAUGUUCUAUCAGAUAUGCUUCUAAUGAAACUGUACUCUGUUGUUGACGUCGCAAGGGCUUUGAAUAUGCAUUCCCAACUCAGAAAACUAGAGCUCUUUGUUAGAGAUUCAGAACGUAACGGUCGUUUUGGUCAUCAGGUAGCUGAGAUGCUAAAGCUCGCCUUUUAAGACGCUGAACAUGUGAUUGAAGAGUAUGAGAUUUGGUGUCUUCAAAAGGUACAUGGUUUUUUCUUCUGUAGAUCAAACACUCUUGCCUGUAGAAUUCGAAUGUGUGUUGAAAUUCGAAAGCUGAUUAAGAAACUGCAUAAGAUAGGUAGGUACAGAAAGUUUUCAAUGAUGGUGAUGGGAUUUGGGGGCUAUCAUAGUCCUCAUAGAACAAGAGGGCUUACGCAUACACGUGCAUGUGUGCAUUACUCUAGUGUUGUGGGAAGGGACUUUGAUACAGAUACAACAACAACAACUACCUAGUAUAGUCCCACAAAGUGGGGUCUGGGGAGGGUAAUAUGUAGNNN
RNAcentral lists this long non-coding RNA (763 nucleotides) under Nicotiana benthamiana. RNAcentral describes it as "long non-coding RNA (NBEN_LNC039351)". Lineage: Eukaryota; Viridiplantae; Streptophyta; Magnoliopsida; Solanales; Solanaceae. The record is from RNAcentral.